Sphaerodactylus townsendi is the source of this 410-nucleotide long non-coding RNA. RefSeq lists it as uncharacterized. NCBI's taxonomy places the organism in Eukaryota, Metazoa, Chordata, Lepidosauria, Squamata, Sphaerodactylidae. The record is from RefSeq and is a predicted model, not a curated record. The transcript has 2 exons.
UCUCUCUUCUCUUCUCUGGGAGGCAGGUUUUUUUUAAAAUGGCGGCCCAGAGCUUUUUUCUUUAACGCCAUAGAAUACCCAUGGGAUAUCUACGAAGAAAUGGGGAUAUAAGGUUGAGGCACUGAAGAAGAUACCGAAAUACGUGGUUUACGUACGAAGCGAUCUGCCGUUACCAACCUAAUCCUUGAAUGGUUUACAAACACUCACUUAUGUGAACUUGAUUACUUUGGUGAACACUUUAGGAGAGGAGUGUGUAUUAUGUGAAUGGACUUUAAAGGUAUAUAUGACUUGGAAUUGAUUUUCGGAAUAUAUUGCUUUGAGUUCUUGUGAGAAACGAUUGGAAUGUAUAAUUUUGUAUAAUUUUGUUGCUAUCUGAUGAUAAGAAUUGAUUCAACAAGACAUAAGCCAGA